UGACUGAAGUGGGGGCCGGCUCCGGGGGGUGGAUUUUUGGCAAAGGGGUGACUAACACUUGAGUAACCUGCCCUUAACUCUGGGAUAAGCCUGGGAAACUGGGUCUAAUACCGGAUAGGAGCGUCCACCGCAUGGUGGGUGUUGGAAAGAUUUAUCGGUUUUGGAUGGACUCGCGGCCUAUCAGCUUGUUGGUGAGGUAAUGGCUCACCAAGGCGACGACGGGUAGCCGGCCUGAGAGGGUGACCGGCCACACUGGGACUGAGACACGGCCCAAACUCCUACGGGAGGCAGCAGUGGGGAAUAUUGCACAAUGGGCGAAAGCCUGAUGCAGCGACGCCGCGUGAGGGAUGACGGCCUUCGGGUUGUAAACCUCUUUCAGUAGGGAAGAAGCGAAAGUGACGGUACCUGCAGAAGAAGCACCGGCUAACUACGUGCCAGCAGCCGCGGUAAUACGUAGGGUGCGAGCGUUAUCCGGAAUUAUUGGGCGUAAAGAGCUCGUAGGCGGUUUGUCGCGUCUGUCGUGAAAGUCCGGGGCUUAACCCCGGAUCUGCGGUGGGUACGGGCAGACUAGAGUGCAGUAGGGGAGACUGGAAUUCCUGGUGUAGCGGUGGAAUGCGCAGAUAUCAGGAGGAACACCGAUGGCGAAGGCAGGUCUCUGGGCUGUAACUGACGCUGAGGAGCG
Molecule: ribosomal RNA, 682 nt
Filed under: Micrococcus luteus
Lineage: Bacteria; Bacillati; Actinomycetota; Actinomycetes; Micrococcales; Micrococcaceae
Description: bacterial SSU rRNA
Rfam family: Bacterial small subunit ribosomal RNA
Source: RNAcentral